This 499-nucleotide ribosomal RNA is filed under the name uncultured bacterium. Its description in RNAcentral is "partial 16S ribosomal RNA". It matches the Rfam family "Bacterial small subunit ribosomal RNA", at positions 28 to 507 of the family's 1533-position model. The record is from RNAcentral.
GACGAACGCUGGCGGCGUGCUUAACACAUGCAAGUCGAACGGGCCCGCCCCUGUUUUUGGGGGUGGGUUGAGUGGCGAACGGGUGAGUAUCACGUGAGUAACCUGCCCCCUGCUCCUGGAUAACUGCUUGAAAGGGCGGCUAAUACGGGGUGUGCCGGCUGGUCCGCAUGGGCCUGGUCGGGAUAGUUUCAUCUUCGGGUGUUUCGGUGGGGGAUGGGCUCGCGGCCUAUCAGCUUGUUGGUGGGGUGAUGGCCCACCAAGGCGGUGACGGGUAGCCGGCCUGAGAGGGUGGGCGGCCACACUGGGACUGAGACACGGCCCAGACUCCUGCGGGAGGCAGCAGUGGGGGGUAUUGCACAAUGGGCGGAAGCCUGAUGCAGCGACGUCGCGUGAGGGAUGGAGGCCUUCGGGUUGUGAACCUCUUUCUCCGGUGGUGAAGGCCCUGUCCGUUGCGGCGGGGUUGACAGUAGCCGGGUAUGAAGCGCCGGCUAACUACGUG